Molecule: long non-coding RNA, 2480 nt
Filed under: Brassica napus (rape)
Lineage: Eukaryota; Viridiplantae; Streptophyta; Magnoliopsida; Brassicales; Brassicaceae
Description: long non-coding RNA (BNAP_LNC005654)
Source: RNAcentral
UUUUUGUUGAUAGAUGAGUAUUCUUUUAGAUUUUUUUGAUCAAUAGUUUUAUUUUUUAAAUAUAAUUUUCAAAAAAGUUUUCAUUUUUUCAUAGAAAUAUUGUAGAUUUGGGGUUGUGGUUCAGAAAUUAGGAUAACAAUAAUUUUUGUUGAUAGAUGAGUAUUCUUUUAGAUUUUUUUGAUCAAUAGUUUGUAUAUUUUAAAUAUAAUUUUCAAAAACUCUAUUUUAAGAAAGUUUUCAUUUUUUCAUAGAAAUAUUGUAGAUUUGGGGUUGUGAUUUAAAAUUAGGAUAACAAUUUUUUUUUUUUGGUAGAUGGCAGGAGACGAUAGUCUCCUACUUUUUAUUCAAAAUCAAACUUGCGUUACAAGAAAAUCUGUCUAGCUCUAGCAAACCCAUGAAUAUCAUCUGACAAGAUAGAAGCAACAUGCUCCGGAGCAAACUCAAAGUAAUGUAAACCGUACGAUAAAGAAAAAGCAUAGUUAGCUAAUCCAUCUGCUAGACAAUUAGCCUCCCUAUACACGUGCGAAAUCUUGACUAACCAGUCUCUUGAUAUGAAGCCAUAGCACAAACGUACUAGGAAUGACAGGGGAUGAGAAUCCUGGAUACCUGUCGUAAGAAAACCCACCACACUCUCGGAAUCAACCUCCACCUCUAGUCGUCGGAUUCCCUUAUCCCAUGCUAUACAUAGGCCGUAAUAAACACCCCAUAACUCCGCCAAUGGGGCUGAGCAAAUACCAAUAUUGAUCGCAAAGCCUCCUCUCCACUCUCCAUAUUCAUCACGCAUGGCCCCACCUGCUGUAGCCAGUCCCGGAUUCCCUUUAGAGGACCCGUCAGUAUUCAAUUUACACCAGCCAUUACCCGGUUUGCACCAUGCGAUCUGUCUCUCCACACGCGUACUAAUGGUCGAGCAGGGUCGCAUUUUCUUAUUUGCUAGUACCACCUCCUGAGUCUUAUCUUUAACAAACUGCACCCUAUCUCGACACUUUCCAGUUUCACCAAAGACAUACCCACACCUCCAUUUCCAACACCACCACACAGUCAACGCAAACAUUAUGGGCCAUUGAUCUCCAUUAGCCGACGUAUCGUUUGUGAGAUUCUCAUACAGCCAUUCUAAAAGUGGUUGAUUGAAGAACCGCUGUUGUUUUCUUAGGAUCACAAUUUUUCUCCAUAGUCCCAUUGCAGCAGGGCAAUCUCGAAGGACAUGAAUGAUUGUCUCAUCUCCAUUCUUGCACAGUUGGCACAUUCCAUUAUCACUUAAGUGUCUCCGCUUCCUCUCCAUGUUCGUCAUGAUAACUUGGUGCGCAACCAACCAUAAAAAAACUCUAACUCUUUCUGGUACCAUAACCCGCCAAACCCGACUGUAGAAAGCCUCCAUAUUUGGUCUCGGUGACUCGUCUAUUGUCAAGAGUGCAUACGCUGAUUUCACAGAGAAGAGACCAUUCUUACUUCCUCCCCAAGACAUCCUAUCCUUAGCCCCUGUGACAUCAUCGAUCACCACCGAAGCUAAACGUAAUCGGUUCUCCAUUGAUAUGUACGGUUCAAUUUGUUGUGCUAACCAACCUAUCCCAGUCUGCCAUAGGUCACAAGCUUUUGCCUCCAACAGUGCUUCCGGAAUCUCCACCAAACUCAAGCCAUGUAAGGGUUCAUGCAACAACCAAUUAUCCUUCCAAAACCGUACUCGGUGACCAUCUCCUAAUAUCCAGGAAGCUCCUGGAAUCACAACUGCUCGAAUUCCCAACACCAAGCUCCUCCACGUCGCCGACCAGCUCCCCUGAGGCACCAACCAUGCUGAUUCAUGUAUCUCACCUACACGAAACUUCUUACGUAAGAUUUGCACCCAUAGUCCAUCUUGUGUGUUCAACAGUCUCCAGCCGAGUUUAGCUAAGAGAGAAAUGUUCAUUUCUUUUGUUGAUAGAUGAGUAUUAUUUCAGAUUUUUUUGAUCAAUAGUUGUAUUUUUAAAAUAUAAUUCUCAUAAAUUCUAUUUUAGGAAAGUUUUCAUUUUUUCAUAGAAAUAUUGUAGAUUUGAGGUUGUGAUUUAGAAAAUAGGAUAACAAUAAUUUUUGUUGAUAGAUGAGUAUUAUUUCAGAUUUUUUUGAUCAAUAGUUGUAUUUUUAAAAUAUAAUUCUCAUAAAUUCUAUUUUAGGAAAGUUUUCAUUUUUUCAUAGAAAUAUUGUAGAUUUGAGGUUGUGAUUUAGAAAAUAGGAUAACAAUAAUUUUUGUUGAUAGAUGAGUAUUAUUUCAGAUUUUUUUGAUCAAUAGUUGUAUUUUUAAAAUAUAAUUCUCAUAAAUUCUAUUUUAGGAAAGUUUUCAUUUUUUCAUAGAAAUAUUGUAGAUUUGAGGUUGUGAUUUAGAAAAUAGGAUAACAAUAAUUUUUGUUGAUAGAUGAGUAUUAUUUCAGAUUUUUUUGAUCAAUAGUUGUAUUUUUAAAAUAUAAUUCUCAAAAAUUCUAUUUUAGGAAAGUUUUCAUUUUUUCAUAGAA